AUCCAGCUGACCAGUCCCAAAUAGGACGAAACGCUCAUCCCUGGAU
This is a non-coding RNA of Schistosoma rodhaini, 46 nucleotides long. The record is from Rfam. Lineage: Eukaryota; Metazoa; Platyhelminthes; Trematoda; Strigeidida; Schistosomatidae.